This 327-nucleotide ribosomal RNA is filed under the name Gymnoris xanthocollis (chestnut-shouldered Petronia). RNAcentral's name for it is "partial 12S ribosomal RNA". It matches the Rfam family "Bacterial small subunit ribosomal RNA", at positions 858 to 1343 of the family's 1533-position model. Lineage: Eukaryota; Metazoa; Chordata; Aves; Passeriformes; Passeridae. The record is from RNAcentral.
UACUAAAGCAUCCGCCCGAGAACUACGAGCACUAACGCUUAAAACUCUAAGGACUUGGCGGUGCCCCAAACCCACCUAGAGGAGCCUGUUCUGUAAUCGAUGAUCCACGAUACACCUGACCAUUCCUUGCCAAAACAGCCUACAUACCGCCGUCGCCAGCUCACCUACACUGAAAGCCCAACAGUGAGCGCAACAGCCCCUACCCGCUAAUAAGACAGGUCAAGGUAUAGCCUAUGGAAUGGGAGCAAUGGGCUACAUUUUCUAGAAUAGAACAUUAACGGCAAAGAGACAUGAAACUGUCUCUGGAAGGCGGAUUUAGCAGUAAAG